RNAcentral lists this ribosomal RNA (497 nucleotides) under uncultured bacterium. Its description in RNAcentral is "partial 16S ribosomal RNA". It matches the Rfam family "Bacterial small subunit ribosomal RNA", at positions 28 to 507 of the family's 1533-position model. The record is from RNAcentral.
GAUGAACGCUGGCGGCGUGCCUAAUACAUGCAAGUCGAGCGAACGGACGAGAAGCUUGCUUCUCUGAUGUUAGCGGCGGACGGGUGAGUAACACGUGGAUAACCUACCUAUAAGACUGGGAUAACUUCGGGAAACCGGAGCUAAUACCGGAUGAUAUUUUGAACCGCAUGGUUCAAAAGUGAAAGACGUUCUUGCUGUCACUUAUAGAUGGAUCCGCGCUGCAUUAGCUAGUUGGUAAGGUAACGGUUUACCAAGGCAACGAUGCAUAGCCGACCUGAGAGGGUGAUCGGCCACACUGGAACUGAGACACGGUCCAGACUCCUACGGGAGGCAGCAGUAGGGAAUCUUCCGCAAUGGGCGAAAGCCUGACGGAGCAACGCCGCGUGAGUGAUGAAGGUCUUCGGAUCGUAAAACUCUGUUAGUAGGGAAGAACAGAUGUGUAAGUAAAUGUGCACAUCUUGACGGUACCUAAUCAGAAAGCCACGGCUAACUACGUG